This 329-nucleotide unclassified non-coding RNA is filed under the name soil metagenome. RNAcentral's name for it is "partial contains 5.8S ribosomal RNA, internal transcribed spacer 2, and large subunit ribosomal RNA". The stretch from base 1 to 120 matches the Rfam family "5.8S ribosomal RNA", at positions 35 to 154 of the family's 154-position model. The record is from RNAcentral.
GAUGAAGAACGUAGCGAAAUGCGAUAAGUAAUGUGAAUUGCAGAAUCCAGUGAAUCAUCGAAUCUUUGAACGCACAUUGCGCCCCUUGGUAUCCCGAGGGGCAUGCCUGUUCGAGCGUCAUUUCACCACUCAAGCCUGGCUUGGUGUUGGGCGACGUCCCCUUUGGGGACGCGCCUCGAAACGCUCGGCGGCGUGGCACCGGCUUUAAGCGUAGCAGAAUCUUUCGCUUUGGAAGUCGGGGCCCCGUCUGCCGGAAGACCUACUCGCAAGGUUGACCUCGGAUCAGGCAGGGAUACCCGCUGAACUUAAGCAUAUCAAUAAGCGGAGGA